UACGAAGGGUGCAAACGUUGCUCGGAAUUAUUGGGCGUAAAGCGCACGUAGGCGGCUUUGCAAGUCCCAUGUGAGAUCCCACGGCUCAACCGUGGAAGUGCAUGGGAAACUGCAGAGCUUGAGUACUUAAGAGGAUCGCGGAAUUCCCGGUGUAGAGGUGAAAUUCGUAGAUAUCGGGAGGAACACCAGUGGCGAAGGCGGCGAUCUGGGAAGAUACUGACGCUGAGGUGCGAAAGCGUGGGGAGCAAACAGG
This 253-nucleotide ribosomal RNA is filed under the name uncultured bacterium. Its description in RNAcentral is "partial 16S ribosomal RNA". It matches the Rfam family "Bacterial small subunit ribosomal RNA", at positions 524 to 776 of the family's 1533-position model. The record is from RNAcentral.